Molecule: long non-coding RNA, 275 nt
Organism: Sinocyclocheilus grahami
Lineage: Eukaryota; Metazoa; Chordata; Actinopteri; Cypriniformes; Cyprinidae
Exons: 3
Source: RefSeq, a predicted model, not a curated record
UGGGAGCUUUGAGUCAAUGCAGCAAAAGUCUGCACGCUCCAUCAUCAUCAUCAUCCCAGGUGAAGCCGCAACGAGAUGCAAUGGCCACUCCAUCUCCAGCCAAGAGUAUGGGCGACCCAGGCAUCACGCCACUUUCCCCCACACACAUACUGAAGGACUCCGAAGAAAAUGAGCCUACGAGACACCCCUAUGUGGUGGUGGUGGCCAUCGACUUUGGCACCACCUCCAGUGGCUAUGCAUAUGCCUUCACUAAAGAGCCAGAGUGCAUUCACACU